Long non-coding RNA from Gasterosteus aculeatus aculeatus (three-spined stickleback), 1048 nucleotides. Lineage: Eukaryota; Metazoa; Chordata; Actinopteri; Perciformes; Gasterosteidae. The record is from Ensembl.
CGGCUGAUUCCCCGUCACCGACCCCGUCUGUCCCUGUUCUUCCCGCUCUGCCAGAUUCCUGGUAAACCUACUCGCCUUCUGAUUCUGUCUCCGGUAAACUCUGCCAGCUGAAGGUUUGAUAAUAAAAGCCAAAGAUCCCAGAACUCCCGUGUAUUGCUUUUGGGUCCAUAUACUCUCGGUUACAAUAUUUGAGACACUCCAUGGUUACAUUAAUGUGUUGAGCAGAUUAGUAUGCAUGUUCUCACAUAAGUCCCAUGCAGUUCUCCAAUAAUUACGCCCAUUUUUCCCAAUGAGCAUGUGCAGCAUCCUCUCAUUCCCGCUGACACAGAACAAACUUAUGAGCCUAAUUGAUGAAACAUGGGCUCUUUGCUCAACAUUCUCCUUUGGUUUUUGCCAUACGAGACCAGUGAUUUUAUAGGAAUUUCCCAAUAGCGAUGAUUCAUAUGCGACAAUUAGAGAAAGUUGUGCCAUAGACUAAAACUUUUCCAGUUUUGAGAAAAAACUAAAUGCAUUGGUUUCUUCUGCAAGACUGUUCUUUUGAAGAAGAGUUAAAUAGUGAUUGUGGUCUGCACUGUGUUUGAUGACUCCUAAGGAAAAGACUUCUAUGUGGUCUAGAAAGGAUGUGUCUUGGUCGACUGCUUUCCAAGUGAUGAACUUGGCAAAGGUGGACGACAAGCGUGGGAGCUCUGCUUUGUCCUUGGUGGUUUUAUGUCCCAUGUGGACCGAAAGACAAGAGGAGGUUUUUACAUCUCUGGUCUCUCCCUCUGUCUCCCUUGGCUCUCUUUGCCGUGGCAUCCCACGUAUGCUACUCAGCUAUUGCCCAUCCAUGGUCGGACUGGAUGCUGAGUAUACAGUUUGCAAAUGUCCCUGGGGCCAGUGAAGGUUUCCAAGUUAAAAGGCUUAAACAAAAGGACAAAGAGAUCUGAGGGAAAGUUGCUUAUCACUUUUGUCUCUCAAAAUGGCUUGUCUCUAAUUUUGUGGUAAGAGAAUGGACAACACAAUCUGGCAUUUAAAAAUGAUUUUGAGAACUAAAGAAAAAGUACUGUAG